This 465-nucleotide ribosomal RNA is filed under the name uncultured bacterium. Its description in RNAcentral is "partial 16S ribosomal RNA". It matches the Rfam family "Bacterial small subunit ribosomal RNA", at positions 28 to 507 of the family's 1533-position model. The record is from RNAcentral.
GACGAACGCUGGCGGCGUGCUUAACACAUGCAAGUCGAACGGAAAGGCCCUGCUUGCAGGGUACUCGAGUGGCGAACGGGUGAGUAACACGUGGGUGAUCUGCCCUGCACUUCGGGAUAAGCCUGGGAAACUGGGUCUAAUACCGGAUAGGCGCCAUUUUGAGUGUGAUGGUUGGAAAGUUUUUUCGGUGUAGGAUGAGCUCGCGGCCUAUCAGCUUGUUGGUGGGGUAAUGGCCUACCAAGGCGGCGACGGGUAGCCGGCCUGAGAGGGUGGACGGCCACAUUGGGACUGAGAUACGGCCCAGACUCCUACGGGAGGCAGCAGUGGGGAAUAUUGCACAAUGGGCGCAAGCCUGAUGCAGCGAGGCCGCGUGGGGGAUGACGGCCUUCGGGUUGUAAACUCCUUUCGCUAGGGACGAAGCUUUUUGUGACGGUACCUAGAUAAGAAGCACCGGCUAACUACGUG